RNAcentral lists this ribosomal RNA (502 nucleotides) under uncultured bacterium. Its description in RNAcentral is "bacterial SSU rRNA". It matches the Rfam family "Bacterial small subunit ribosomal RNA", at positions 29 to 507 of the family's 1533-position model. The record is from RNAcentral.
AUUGAACGCUGGCGGCAGGCCUAACACAUGCAAGUCGAACGGUAACGACAAAAACAAUCCCUUCGGGGUGCGUUUUUAGGCGACGAGUGGCGGACGGGUGAGUAACGCGUAGGAAUCUACCCAGAAGUGGGGGACAACCCGAGGAAACUCGGGCUAAUACCGCAUGCACCCUACGGGGUAAAGCGGAGGACCUUCGGGCUUCGCGCUUCUGGAUGAGCCUGCGUCCGAUUAGCUUGUUGGUAGGGUAACGGCCUACCAAGGCGACGAUGCGUAGCCGACCUGAGAGGGUGAUCGGCCACAUUGGGACUGAGACACGGCCCAGACUCCUACGGGAGGCAGCAGUGGGGAAUUUUCCGCAAUGGGGGAAACCCUGACGGAGCAACGCCGCGUGGAGGAUGAAGGCCCUCGGGUCGUAAACUCCUGUCGAUCGGGAAGAAAGCGUCCGGCCUAAUACGUCGGCACGUUGACUGUACCGGUGGAGGAAGCCACGGCUAACUCUGUG